AGGGGGUAGGAGGUGUGGGUGGUGGGACGAUGAGGUGCAGGUCGGGGGAAGAAAGUCAUGGAAAGGAGAGGGUAGUGAACAUGGGGAAAAAACUAAAAAUAGAUCGGGCCGUGGCCUUAAAAGAAACAUCAGCCCAUGAAAGUGAAAUUAGGCCCAAACCCCAAGACGGAUUAAGGAACCAAUCCUCUCUUUAUAGAAAUAGGCAAAGAUUGGAGCGUUCAAAUAACCUUAUGUUCAAUGUUGAGUAACCUUAUGGCAUAUCUUCCAUGUGGAGUAUAUUAUUGGUCACUUUAUUAGCCAAAUGUCUUCAUUUUAUGAAUCAACGGCUGUUGUACUAUUGUCUUAUGAGAUUAAGCAUAUCUAUAUAGACAUCUUAAUCACUAC
RNAcentral lists this long non-coding RNA (384 nucleotides) under Setaria viridis. RNAcentral describes it as "long non-coding RNA (SVIR_LNC003090)". Lineage: Eukaryota; Viridiplantae; Streptophyta; Magnoliopsida; Poales; Poaceae. The record is from RNAcentral.